RNAcentral lists this ribosomal RNA (524 nucleotides) under uncultured fungus. RNAcentral describes it as "SSU rRNA". It matches the Rfam family "Eukaryotic small subunit ribosomal RNA", at positions 37 to 564 of the family's 1831-position model. The record is from RNAcentral. Lineage: Eukaryota; Fungi.
UCAAAGAUUAAGCCAUGCAUGUCUAAGUAUAAGCAAUUUGUACUGUGAAACUGCGAAUGGCUCAUUAAAUCAGUUAUCGUUUAUUUGAUAGUACCUUACUACAUGGAUACCUGUGGUAAUUCUAGAGCUAAUACAUGCUAAAAACCUCGACUUCGGAAGGGGUGUAUUUAUUAGAUAAAAAACCAAUGCCCUUCGGGGCUCCUUGGUGUAUCAUAAUAACUUAGCGAAUCGCAUGGCCUUGCGCCGGCGAUGGUUCAUUCAAAUUUCUGCCCUAUCAACUUUCGAUGGUAGGAUAGUGGCCUACCAUGGUGGCAACGGGUAACGGGGAAUUAGGGUUCGAUUCCGGAGAGGGAGCCUGAGAAACGGCUACCACAUCCAAGGAAGGCAGCAGGCGCGCAAAUUACCCAAUCCCGACACGGGGAGGUAGUGACAAUAAAUACUGAUACGGGGCUCUUUUGGGUCUCGUAAUUGGAAUGAGUACAAUCUAAAUCCCUUAACGAGGAACAAUUGGAGGGCAAGUCUGG